RNAcentral lists this unclassified non-coding RNA (329 nucleotides) under soil metagenome. RNAcentral's name for it is "partial contains 5.8S ribosomal RNA, internal transcribed spacer 2, and large subunit ribosomal RNA". The stretch from base 1 to 120 matches the Rfam family "5.8S ribosomal RNA", at positions 35 to 154 of the family's 154-position model. The record is from RNAcentral.
GAUGAAGAACGCAGCGAAAUGCGAUAAGUAAUGUGAAUUGCAGAAUUCAGUGAAUCAUUGAAUCUUUGAACGCACAUUGCGCCCCCUGGUAUUCCGGGGGGCAUGCCUGUCCGAGCGUCAUUACAACCCUCAAGCUCAGCUUGGUGUUGGGCCCCGCCGCCCCGGCGGGCCCUAAAGUCAGUGGCGGUGCCGUCCGGCUCCGAGCGUAGUAAUUCUUCUCGCUCUGGAGGCCCGGUCGUGUGCUCGCCAGCAACCCCCAAUUUUUUUCAGGUUGACCUCGGAUCAGGUAGGGAUACCCGCUGAACUUAAGCAUAUCAAUAAGCGGAGGA